GGAGGGGGGCUCCGGCGGCAGCAAAUGAAAACGGGACCGUUCCUCCGACCAGUCAAAACAGUUCAUUAAAUCACUCGGCAGGCAAAGGCGAUUACAGCAGGCAGAGAGGUGGACGCUUCUAAAGAUACUGCGGCACUACACAAAACAACGCACAAGUGAGCGCUGCCUCAAAGGCUGACUGCAAGGGCAACUGAUGACAGAGCCAGGAGAGCACAAGCAGCCCUGAAACACACCAGGCAAGGGGAGGCACAACAACAGAGUUGAGACAGUGGAUAAAGGAAUCGGCAUAAAAAGUGAAAUAAGCACCUACAGCUAUCUUUUCCUUUUGGUCUUCGAGGAAACAGGCUACCUUCCAGUGGUCAAAUGAAAGAUAAAGACAGUAGAAGGCAAGGUUCCCAGACCUGCAUCUCAACGGUGGGAGGUAAAGGGAAGAGAGAGGAAGAAAUUUUAUUUAUUGUUUCUUCCUUGUUAUUCACUCUGGGAAAAUUCUGCAGAAACUGGAGGUUUACUAUUUCUGUCAAAUUUGUCAUACAAAAUAUGUUAUGAUGGAUGAUUAACAAACUCAGGCUUUCUGUCAAAAAGUUAUGUGUCCCUCUGUAGCUUUGCUCAAGUAUUACCACUACAUACGUACUGUAAUUUUUUUAGUAUCUACAUAACAUAGUUGAAAAACUCUGCAGGCAGUGAGAUCACAGUUAAAAAAAAAGUUGGAAACAUGCACAAGAGGCUAUUCAUUGUGCUAUUUUUACUGUUGUGAACUCCAUCCUAUGAACAAUGACUCCUAAGAGUUGCAAGGUGGAGAAGCACUUGCAAACCAUACAAGCUUGUUUACUCAUUGCACUGAUUCAUUAUGUUCCUCGGUGUAAAAUCUAUGGGACUCAAGAAAAAGCAUGAGGGAGAAAUUCUGUUUCCUGAACAGCUCUUCCACCCACCAAGCCCUGCUGAGAUGGUGGAGGUCGUGUGAGGGGUCUCGGCGUACACCUCUUGAUGUCCACCUCCGAGAAGGAGAGGCUGGCCUGGCUGGUGAAUAGCCCCUACACACCAGUGGAGCACAUUCCCUCUGGUGCCUUCACUGUCUUGCUUUAUCAGCAUCCACGACAGGGUGCAAAGAGCAAUUAAAACAGAUAAUUUUUUUGUUUGGCUUCCCCCCACCCCACCCCGUAAUUCUGAGAUGAUGAUAACUUGGUGGGUCUAUGAAAUUAUUUUUGAGAGGUUUGGCAAAGUUCAUUAUAGCAUGGUACAAAAGCAAAUUAGUUUUCCCAUAUAAUGCAGUGGCAUUAUGGGCCCCAAAAACUAUUAGAAUAAGAAUGAAUAAUAAUUAAUAAUAAUAUGAUCUGCUUCACCACUGAACUCUUGUUAUGACGUUAAAACUUUUCUGUCUCUCCAGGCCUAGCCACAUUUUAUUUCAAGCUAGAUUCUUUGCAGGAGGUGAAGAGGAGGUUGGUGUUCUCUUUGUACACUGGUUGUUUUUGCAUAGAGCAAGGCUGAUAUUUUGCUUCUGCUGCCUUUGUCCUCAUUUCACUGUUCUGCCUUGAGAUUUUUUUUAUCCUGCCUAGCAGGUUGCUUAGAAGCCUGGGCAAUAUAUUCCCAUGUCCAUAUGUUGAAAUCGAAACAAAUAAUGUACAGUCAAAACACACUGUCAACAUUUCCCAUUUCCAAUAUAUGGUUCGUCUAUCAUAAAAGAGAAAAGGGUAUGUUGGUACUUUAGCAUAUCAUACAACAGGACCAAAACAUUUAACUUGAAAAGUAAAAUCUCGAACACCCAGAAACAGGCAUCUUCACCACAGACUUUGUUUUUCUUAAGGCUAGAUUGGGGUUACCUUUGAAUCUCAUAGCUAGUAUACCUGAAAGGUGGAUAAUUUUGCCAAGUACAAUAACAUGAAUAAGUGCUGUUACUUAGAUAUCUGAAAAUAUUUUGGUGAAAAAGCCUAAGACGACAGUGAAACAGUGCAACACUGGGUUGUAAUUGGUAUUUUUUUCUCAAGGUAAAGUGAAACCCAUGAAGAUACUUGACUAAACAUGUCAGCUGUGAACAAAUGAAAAUGACGGCACUGAAAGAUUAGAUAAUAGCUCUGUGAUUCAUAUUUAAGAGUGAAUAAUAGUGAAAUAAUUUGGGGAAUACUCAGAAAUAUUGCUAAGAGGAAACCACAGAAAAGGCACAGGGACCAGGUUCAAAAAGAAGGGACAGCUGACAUGUAAAUCCAAAUCCAGCUGCUAAUAACCAAAGGCACAGGCAAGAUGAAAGAGCUAUUUGAAAAACUUGGUUUUACAAGAGAAAACUGGGCAAUAAGGGGAAAAAGAGGAGUGAAAGAAAUAAUUAGACACUUACAGAGUACAGCCUAUGCCACUUCUCCCCAAAACUGACAGCUCUGCUUAAACAUUACAUAUUUUCAUCACACAUUUAUAUGUAUGGAGUACAAAAGUCCAGCACCACAGGCAGCAGGGAAAAACUAUACAUUUUCAAUUAAAAAUUCCUAUAUUUCAAAUUGAUUUUAUGACAGAUAACGUCAGAUAUGGCAUAAGAAGACUAGUCUACAGAAAUACAGGAGAUCUAAAAUAUAAUAAUCAUACAUAGUAAUACUCGCCACUGCUAAUUCACCUUCCUUGCCUUGACUCUUGUCAAGUCCCUGAUACAAAACUAUCUAUGUAAGGCAGAUAGUGUCUUUGGUUCCAAUUUAACUUUCUGCUAUACCACAUUGUUCCUAAGACACCACAUUAUCUCUAAAACAUGUGCAAAAUUGAAGUCAUGUCAGAUUCUGUUACUGUCCAAGAGCAAACAUUUUAAUAGCAUGCUAUUAGUUCUAUAUUUAAUACUAAAAUGGUAGCAGUACCUCUUCCGCGAAGUUAGUUUUCUUGUCAAGCAUUUCUCGUAAUGUCUGAAGAAUUUUAAUGCAGAGCUUUUCUUCUUUCUCCAUCAGCUUCUUUGUGUGAUUAAUCAACCUUAAAGUAAAAUAUUAAAACUUAAAUAGCACUGCACAUUGUUGCUAAGACAUACUAUUAUCCAACUUUUUUAUGCAAAAAUUGCCUGUCACUAUAUUUUUCCUCAAGGAAAGGAAAUAAAAUUAGACGAGAGAAAUCAUAAUUAAAAAGGAAAUGAGACUUUCAA
Columba livia (rock pigeon) is the source of this 3103-nucleotide long non-coding RNA. RefSeq lists it as uncharacterized. NCBI's taxonomy places the organism in Eukaryota, Metazoa, Chordata, Aves, Columbiformes, Columbidae. The record is from RefSeq and is a predicted model, not a curated record. The transcript is spliced from 2 exons.